RNAcentral lists this ribosomal RNA (494 nucleotides) under uncultured bacterium. RNAcentral's name for it is "bacterial SSU rRNA". It matches the Rfam family "Bacterial small subunit ribosomal RNA", at positions 1 to 495 of the family's 1533-position model. The record is from RNAcentral.
GAUUAGAGUUUGAUCAUGGCUCAGGAUGAACGCUAGCGGCAGGCUUAAUACAUGCAAGUCGAACGGGAUUCGAGGUAGCAAUACUUUGAUGAGAGUGGCGCACGGGUGCGUAACGCGUAUGCAACCUACCUUUAACAGGUGAAUAGCCCCGAGAAAUCGGGAUUAAUACACCGUAACAUUGCGCUGUGGCAUCACAGUGCAAUUAAAGAUUUAUCGGUUAAAGAUGGGCAUGCGUGACAUUAGCUAGUUGGUGAGGUAACGGCUCACCAAGGCAACGAUGUCUAGGGGUCCUGAGAGGGUUAUCCCCCACACUGGUACUGAGACACGGACCAGACUCCUACGGGAGGCAGCAGUAAGGAAUAUUGGUCAAUGGGCGCAAGCCUGAACCAGCCAUGCCGCGUGCAGGAAGACGGCCCUAUGGGUUGUAAACUGCUUUUGUCAGGGAAUAAACCUUUGUACGUGUACAGAGCUGAAGGUACCGAAGAAUAGCAUCG